GGUUCUAUGGUGUGAUGGUUAGCACGCUGGACUCUGAAUCCAGCAAUCUGAGUUCAAAUAUCAGUAGGACAU
RNAcentral lists this transfer RNA (72 nucleotides) under Danionella translucida. It matches the Rfam family "tRNA". Rfam says of the family: Transfer RNA (tRNA) molecules are approximately 80 nucleotides in length. Their secondary structure includes four short double-helical elements and three loops (D, anti-codon, and T loops). RNAcentral also lists the same sequence under 1 other name. Lineage: Eukaryota; Metazoa; Chordata; Actinopteri; Cypriniformes; Danionidae. The record is from Rfam by way of RNAcentral.